UAUUUCAACCUAUUUUAAUAUUUAAAAUUUUGGAUUGAGUGUGACCUCUUUAACAAGUUGUUGGCUAUUUAUUAACGAUUAAAAUAGGUCAAAUUUUUUAUCUCGUGAUAACAGGUUCAGAAGAUCAAUAAGUGGAGUGAAGUUACGGUCCAUAAUAGACCUAAUGAUAAAAGACCUAACAACAAAUCUAAUAUUCAGAUGGAUUGAACCAGAUCGAAUCCCGUGAAUUGCUGUGGUUGAGCCCUUAAGUGCGAUGGGUACAUUAUUUCUAUAACACUUGCUUUUGGAAUAGUUAGUUAGUGUUUACGAUUCACACCGGUCUAUAGUAAUUUAGGUUGAUCUCGAGGUAAAAAUAGUCAAAAAUUAUUAUUUUUU
This 375-nucleotide long non-coding RNA is filed under the name Ananas comosus (pineapple). Its description in RNAcentral is "long non-coding RNA (ACOM_LNC027726)". Lineage: Eukaryota; Viridiplantae; Streptophyta; Magnoliopsida; Poales; Bromeliaceae. The record is from RNAcentral.